RNAcentral lists this ribosomal RNA (253 nucleotides) under uncultured bacterium. Its description in RNAcentral is "partial 16S ribosomal RNA". It matches the Rfam family "Bacterial small subunit ribosomal RNA", at positions 524 to 776 of the family's 1533-position model. The record is from RNAcentral.
UACGUAGGGGGCGAGCGUUGUCCGGAUUCAUUGGGCGUAAAGCGCGCGUAGGCGGCUCGACAAGUCGGCCGUGAAAUCUCCAGGCUCAACUUGGAGGGGUCGGGCGAGACUGUCGGGCUCGAGGUGGGCAGAGGGCAGUGGAAUUCCGGGUGUAGUGGUGGAAUGCGUAGAUAUCGGGAGGAACACCAGUGGCGAAGGCGACUACCUGGCCUGUUCUUGACGCUGAGGCGCGAAAGCUAGGGGAGCAAACGGG